RNAcentral lists this small RNA (544 nucleotides) under Pongo abelii (Sumatran orangutan). RNAcentral describes it as "processed transcript". Lineage: Eukaryota; Metazoa; Chordata; Mammalia; Primates; Hominidae. The record is from RNAcentral.
ACUGAGCCUACGUCAUCAUCCCGAGUUUCUGAAGACCACAGCAUAUUGAAAAAAAGAAAAUGUACUCAUUUUUGGCUGUCACAACUAUAUAUUAUUUUUAAAAGUAAAUAUUCAUUUAGUUAGAUUAAGAAUUAGAAACAACUCAUUAUAAGAAAAUGUGGACUUAUAAUAUGUUUUUAAUUUUAAUACUGUAGUCACUAAAAUGUGAAAUUGAUGAGACCCAAAUAUCCAGAUGAAAAGAAACCAGCCAUCUGAAUGUUUUUGUCUGUAUAAUACUUACAUCUAGAUAGACCCAGAUGAUUGAUAACAUUCACAAUUUUCUGUGAAAUAUUGAAUUUUUUUGCUAAUCAUGUUUCUUUAGAAUUGUUUUUAAUUAUGUGCUUAUGAUUGAGAGUACAAAAUUCCAAAAGCAUAUGAAAAUUAACAUUGGCCAGCCACGUGUUGUGGCUCACUUGUGUUAUCCCAGCACUUUGGGAGACUGAGGUGAGAGGAUUGCGUGAGCCCAGAAGUUCAAGACCAGCCUGGGCAACAUAGCAAGACUCUG